This 568-nucleotide ribosomal RNA is filed under the name uncultured Alphaproteobacteria bacterium. Its description in RNAcentral is "bacterial SSU rRNA". It matches the Rfam family "Bacterial small subunit ribosomal RNA", at positions 329 to 915 of the family's 1533-position model. The record is from RNAcentral. Lineage: Bacteria; Pseudomonadati; Pseudomonadota; Alphaproteobacteria.
CAGGUCACUCCUACGGGAGGCAGCAGUAGGGAAUAUUGGACAAUGGGGGAAACCCUGAUCCAGCCAUGCCGCGUGAGUGAAGAAGGCCUUCGGGUUGUAAAGCUCUUUUGGCGGGGACGAUGAUGACGGUACCCGCAGAAUAAGCCCCGGCUAACUUCGUGCCAGCAGCCGCGGUAAGACGAAGGGGGCGAGCGUUGUUCGGAAUCACUGGGCGUAAAGGGCGCGUAGGCGGCGCGAUAAGUCAGGCGUGAAAGCCCCAGGCUCAACCUGGGAAAUGCGCUUGGGACUGUCGUGCUAGAGAGCGGGAGAGGAUGGUGGAAUUCCCAGUGUAGAGGUGAAAUUCGUAGAUAUUGGGAAGAACACCGGUGGCGAAGGCGGCCAUCUGGACCGUUUCUGACGCUGAGGCGCGAAAGCGUGGGGAGCAAACAGGAUUAGAUACCCUGGUAGUCCUAGCCCUAAACCAUGGAUGCUAGCCGUUGGCGAGCUUGCUCGUCAGUGGCGCAGCUAACGCUUUAAGCAUCCCGCCUGGGGAGUACGGUCGCAAGAUUAAAACUUAAAGGAAUUGACG